GCGCUUCGCCCCGUGGUCCGGGUUCCGGGCCUGGCGGAGGCCGAGCCUGCCCAGCGCCGAGCGGGGGCGCCGCGACCUCGGUCCCGCCCGGGCCACCUGCGGGGCUCCGCGCCUCCGGGGCUGUCCCGGCGGGGGUCGGUCGGGGCGCCCUGCCAGCUCCGCCUCCUCCGGGGCGCCCUCUCCGCUUUCGCUUUCUGUUCCCGGGUCGGGGAGGCGGGCGCGGCGGCGCGAGGGCCAGCGGGGCAGCGGCGGGCCCCCAGGUACGGCGGGUGCGACCCCGGGGCCCCCGCCGGCCCCCCGACCCCCGGCCGCGCUGCGGGGCUCGAGAGGGGCUCGAGAGGGGCUCGAGAGGGGCUCGGCGCCGGCCACCUGCUGGUGCCCGCGGGGGCGGCCGGGGAGCCGGGGCGCGCGGCGGAGGCGAGCGAGGCGCGGAGGGCUGGCUGGCGGCCUGGGGGCUGGGGGGCCUGGGGCGCUGGAGGGGCCGUGGGACCUGGGCCCGAGUCCGCAGGGACGCGGGGGGGGGGCGGCCGGGGGCGGGGGCGCGGGGGCGCAGGGUCAGCGCGCCUCUUCCCGGCAGGCGGGAGCGGCCCCCUCCGAGCGCCUCGCCGCUGGUUUCCCCCCCACCCCGGCUUCCUCUCCCGCCCUCCGGCUACCCCCCUGGUCCCCCAAGCCCCACCCUCGGCCCCUCCGGCUCCUCCCCAGGCCCCCCCACCUCCCCAGCCCCCCCCCGGCUCCUCCCCCAACCCCCCUGAGGCCCCCCCUUGGCUCCCCGGCUCCUCCCCAGGCCCCUCCACCUCCCCAGCCCCCCACCCCGGCUCCUCCCCCGACCCCUCCUCAGGCCCCCUCCUCGGCUCCCCCGGCUCCUCCCCAGGCCCCCCCCACCUCCCCAGGCCCGCCCUCCGCUCCACCCUAGGCCCCCCGGCUCCUCCCCCGACUCCUCCGCAGGCACCCCCCUCGGCUUCCCUGGCUCCUCCCCAGACCCCCCCCACCUCCCCAGGCCCCCCCACCUCCCCAGCCCCCCUCGGCUCCUCCCCCGACCCCUCCUCAGGCCCUCCCCUCGGCUCCCCCGGCUCCUCCCCAGGCCCCCUCCACCUCCCCAGGCCCGCCCUCCGCUCCACCCUAGGUCCCCCGGCUCCCCCCCCUCCUCCGCAGGCAACCCCCUCGGCUUCCCUGGCUCCUCCCCAGGCCCCCCCCACCUCCCCAGCCCCCCCCGGCUCCUCCCCCGACCCCUCCGCAGGCCCCCCUCCG
This 1248-nucleotide long non-coding RNA is filed under the name Canis lupus familiaris (dog). RNAcentral describes it as "lncRNA (ENSCAFG00040000032.1)". The record is from RNAcentral. Lineage: Eukaryota; Metazoa; Chordata; Mammalia; Carnivora; Canidae.